UCUUCUCCAUCUUCUUCUUGCAAUAAUUCAUUCGUCACGAGUGUACAGCAUACAGCGCCGACUUUAGCAAGUAGUUGAAUGUACUGCUUUUCUUCUAUCACAUAGUAAAUUUUUCAAACCAAAUUUACCAGAACUUCUUGAUCUUCACUUUUCCUUUUUCUGUUUUAUUUUAUAUUUUACCUUCUUCUAUUUUUAUUUCCACUUAGGGUGAUGUAAUGUAACAGUCGAAACCACGUUACGAAUCCAUUUGGAUAUUUGAAACUAUUCUUGGAAAUGUGAAUUCAUUGUUAAGAACUUCUCUUGAAACUUUUCUUAAGAAUGAACAGUACUAUGUUCCAGUUUGUUAUUCAUAUAUUCAUUUUCUAUAAUCACACCACACUCAAAACAGAAAUCGUACAUUUACGUAAAGGCAAAGGAGAGAGAUAAAGAAGAACACUUGAGGAGACGAUAUCAGCAACUAAAACAUUAUUCUGAAAACGGAGAAACUGAUGAAAUGAAAAGUAAACAGAUCCGAUGAAAAAGAAAGAUGGUUUAGAGAAGUCUUACAAAGUAUGUGUGUACGUAUUUCGUUGUAUUUUGUGACAAACAAGGUAAGUACAGAAACAAACAUAAUAGUAGGCCAUUAUGACAUUACUCCCUUUGUCUUUACUAAAUGAGCUUAGUUUUAUAAUCUCAAUGGUCUAACAUGAUCCAUUAGUUUAACAUUUGUGUUGUACAAGGACUUGGUUUAGGUUAAAUAAUGAUUUUUUAAAUCAUGAUCAGCAGAACACGUAGCAACAACUUUACCAGUUACGUUAAAGAUAAAAGGAGCAUAGUUUAGUAUGAUUGACAUAACAUAUUGCAGGAAGAGAAAAAAAUACAUCACUUAUUUCAUUGAACAACUGUUGAACAGGAUCAUUCUCUCUGCAUCAAGCAUUUUUAUUUAGAACCAGCACAGUCAAAUGAGACAAUACAAGUCACACGAGGGUGUGACAACUUUCGAACUUGGAAAUGUUAAGUUUGUUUUAAUUCUCCGAUAAAACAAAAGUUCAUACGUCAAAUAAAACUUAUAAUACUAAGCCAUGCUAACUCGUUCAUUUGCCAGCCUCACAUAAUGGACUAAUAAAGAGCCUACAAGUGACAUAAUCACCGAGAAGCUUUUAACAUUAAAUUUUGUCAUAUCUUUAAUCAACUAUGCCUCAAUCAUCCUCGAGCUAUUAUCAAGUGAAUUUGACACAUUAAAUAGAGCUAGAUGAUGUGAGGUCAAAAAUAUAUAUUUUUAAUCAUUAUUUGCCUCACAUUAAUUAUUUAUAUAUGUCUUUUUUGAGCAUAAAUGUUAUGGAUUGUGCUAAAUAGUAUAUUUUAUUUGUAGGAGUAAAUUAGUGUGAAGUUGAAGAAGUUUGGAGCUUAAACGAAUUAAAGAUGAAAGAUUAUAGAAGAAAAUCAAGCAGUCAGUUUAAUAGAUUAAAUUCUGUAUAAAAUAUAAAGUUGCAAAGUUCAAUUGAAAAAGAGAAUCCUUCCCCGUGGCAGCAAUGGAAGACACCUUCAGAUUGUUUGAAGCAGCGGCUGAGGCGGUUACCGAAUACGCGUGGAAUUAGGAAAUUCAAAUUCUGUUUGGUUUUGAUUUUCUAGUUUAUUUUGGAAUCAAUUAUUUUAUUUAAGAUUUUCUACAUCUAUAAAUAGUUCACAGAAAUAAUUAUUAGAGGAGAUCAAUAAGGAGAAACUUUACAAGAAAAAGUUGUCAAUAUUUUUUAGGGUUAUUUUCUUUUUCUUUCUUUUCCUAGAGAUUAGUGGCGAAACACCCUUGUUCUGGGGCUGUAGCUACAAAUCGAAGGUUGAAUAUUUAAGGUUUAUGAAUUAAUUCUUGGUUGUCAUUAUAAGUUACUUCUAUAUUCUUGUUUUAGUAUUUUAUGCUUGCGCACCAUAAGAUAAAUCUAUUGUCUAAUCUUGAAAUUGAGAGAGGAGGGGUUAGAUAGACUAGAGAAUAUAGAGAGCUCGGUCGACCCAUUUGAUUGAGGUGAUUAGUGUUCAGGAGUGACACCCGGACGAACAACUUGCUUGGUUACGAAAUAAGAUGAAAUAUAAAUGUUCGUCAGUUAGUCUAUUUAUCCCCGCUUAACGAUAUAGUUAGAUAACUAACUGGAGUAGGCGAUGAGAGGUGUGUAGCCUGACUCAUACAAUUAAGCCUAUAAACCAGUAACUUGACAACUAAAAUUAGUUCUAAGCAAAGAAUAUGAUACAUGAGAUUCAUUGCAUGUUGCAUCCCUUGAAUUUGCCCAAUCACUGUAAGUAAUCUUAUUAUUUAAUUCCUACAUUCUUUUCUUUAUAAAUAAAAAGUCAAACUCUUUUAGCACUCUUAAAUAAACAAUUAGACUAGUAUAAUUUAGUAAAUAGUUAAUUGACAAGUCCUUUGGGUUCAAUAAUCUUUUUAAGAGCCACUAUGUUAUUUGCGCGACCACGUACACUUGCGUGUGCAAUUGGGAGCAAUAAGUUUUUGGCGCCACUGCCGGGGACUUAGAAAUUGAUUUAUAUUUAAUCUUCUUAAGUCUACAAAUAAAAUAUUCAGGUAUUAAUUACUUGAUCUUAGCUUGUAUAUUGCAAACAAUUGACUUUCAGGUCUGGCUAGGAAAGGAGAACUUGUCGAACCUUACAACGAACCCGAAAGAGUCUUACGCCAGCGCAGGAAAAUGGCUAAUCAAGGACGACAUGGAGAAUUGGGGUUAGGUCUUCAAGAAGACAAUGAGAACAAUAAUCAAGACAAUGUGAAUAACCCCGGGAACUUGAACAACUAAGCGGUAUCCCCUGUAGUACCUGCAAGACCAGUCCGUGAUGUGGCAGUCCCACUCACAGCCAAUGUGGCAUCUAGUAUUAGGAAACCUCCACUGGGGGUAGAUUUGAACUAAAACAGGGCAUGAUACAACUUCUCCAUUCUAAUGGGCAAUUCACUGAUCUCCCUCACGAGGAUCCUCAAAUCCACAUUAGGAACUUUAUCACUGACAUACAUCCCAACUGGAGUCUCAUCGGACUAUGUGAGGCUGACGUUGUUUCCAUACUCAUUGUUAGGAGCUGCAAAGCAUUAGUUAGAUACUGAACCACCAAACUCCAUCACUACCUGGGAUUACCUAGCAAGAAAGCUCUUGAGUCGAUUCUUUCCAUCCAAGAAAACUGCACGGUUGAGGAGAGAGAUAUUAUGCUUUAGGCAAAAUCAAGGGGAGGAAAUGUACCAAGCAUGGGCUCGUUUCAAACAAAUAUUGAAUGCUUGCCCGCACCACAUGCAAACUAGUGAGGUACUUGCUCACACUUUCUUUGAGGGUUUAGAUUAUAAUGCUCGUGUACUUUUUAAUAAUGCAGCAGGUGGACAGGCCCUAGCUAAAACAUGUGAAGAGUUGUUCGACUUACUCAACAGACUCUCCGAAGGGAACCCAGGAUAUGAGGGGGAAAUGCCGAGAACCACAACCCAAAAGGCCGCAGGGACCUUAGAUGUAGAUCAAGCUACUGCCAUAAAUGCCAAAUUAGAUGUUAUGCAACAUAACAUAGCCUUACAUUUUAAACAGAUGGCUCUAAAUGAUGCACCGGUAAACGUUGUGCAACACGCAGCCAAUUGGUGUGAGGUAUGUGUAGUGGAGCUCAUGAAAUCGAGCAAUGUGAGGUAAACCCGAAUUCCGUAAACUAUAUGGGUAAUGCGCAAAGGGGUGAAGGUCAGCAAAAUUAUAGUAACACCUACAACCCUAGUUGGAGGAACCAUCCUAACUUCUCAUGAGGUGGGAAUCAAAACCAAAAUCAGGCGCAAGGGGCUAACCAAUACCGUUCUCAAGGGGCUGGGCAACAAUACCAGAAUCCUAACCAAGGCGCAAAUCCUAGUGCACCAAAGGGGGGAUGACCAAUGAAGAGCUACUCCAAAAGCUCAUGACUAAAAUAGGGACCAAACUAAAUGCUAUAAUAGAUAAGCAGGAUGAGAACAUCAAAAACAUCCAAAUGUCCCAAAUGAGUUUAAAGAAACAAGUUGCGCAAGUAGCUAAUUCUCUGAACUUGCGUCCCCAAGGUGGGCUACUCAGUGAUACUGAACCCAACCCAAAGCAAUUGCAUGCGGUAAGUACUAGAAGUGGGUUACAAUUAGAGGAACAAGCUCUAAAGAAGAGAGAUACUGAGGCAAGUACCAAAGAAAAGAAAGUGGAAGAGGUAGUAAAAAGCUCCAAUGUUGAGGUACCCAUUCCUCAAAAGAAAUUACCACCUCCGUUUCCACAAAGGCUCAAAAAGAAGAAUGAUGAUGAAUGCUUAGGUAAGUUUCUCUCUCUCCUUAAACAGGUUCAUAUUAAUUUGCCUUUGGUUGACAUUUUGCACGGUAUCCCGAAGUAUGCUAAAUACAUGAAGGACAUUGUGGCUAGCAAGAGGAGGCUCACGGAGUAUGAAACUGUAGCACUUACUGAGGAGUGCAGCUCUAGAAUUUAAAAUAGACUACCCAAAAAGUUAAAAGAUCCAGGUAGUUUUACUGUGCAGAUUACAAUUGAGCAAAGUGUUCAUGCCUGCGGGUUGUGUAAUUUGGGGGCAAGUAUAAAUCUAAUGCCCUUAUCAUUAUAUCAAAAGCUUAGGUUGGGUAGUCCAAAACGAACCACUGUUAUUCUCCAACUCGCUAAUAGAUCCAUUGCUAGGCCAGAGGGGGUGGUAGAAGAUGUGUUAGUGCAAGUAGGUUCGUUGAUUUUUCCGGUGGAUUUUGUGGUCUUAGAUUUUGAAGCCGAUUCUGAAGUUCCAUUUAUUUUGGGACGUCCGUUCUUGGCCACGGGUAGGGCAUUGAUUGAUGUAGCAGCUGGUCAAUUAACUAUGAGGGCACAUGAUAAAGUAGAGAUAUUCGAUGUUUAUCGCGCUUUAAAAUUGCCUUCUAUCUAUGAAGAGUUGUCUGUUAUUACUGUGAUUGAUCACAUAGUAGAAUCACAAGUAGUUGUGCCUGAAGAUCCCUUAGAGAGAGUUUUAGUAGGUCAUGAGGUGGAUGGAGAUACUGAGGAUCAAGAGAUAGAAUCAUGUUUGAAUCUAGCACUUGUUGGCACUCGUAAGCUUCGAGCAGAGUCACUAGAUCGUAAGUUAGAACCCCCACCAAAGCCAUCAAUAGAAGAAGCGCCCAAGCUGGAACUAAAAACUUUGUCGUCUCACCUAAGGUAUGCUUAUUUGGGUGAAUGAAACUUUGCAUGUUAUACUUUCUGCAGAAUUGUCUGAAUUACAGGUUGAUGCGGCAUUGAGGAUCUUAAAGCGGAGAAAAGAAAGUGAUUGGAUGGCAGAUGGCUGAUAUUCAUGGGAUUAGUCCUGCGUUAUGUAUGCACAGAAUCUACAUGGAAAAUGAUCACAAACCAAGUGCACAACAUCAACGUCGGCUAAAUCCUUUGAUGAAAGAAGUGGUAAGAAAGGAAGUAAUAAAGUGGCUAGAUGCUGGAAUUGUGUACCCAAUCUCAUAUAGUAAGUGGAUAAGUCCCUUGCAAUGUGUUCCCAAGAAGGGAGGUAUGACAGUGGUAAGAAACGAAAAGAAUGAGUUGAUUCCUACUAAAACAGUGAUCGGUUAGAGAAGUUGUAUGGAUUACUAGAAACUUAAUGAUGCCACCCGAAAAGAUCACUACCCGGUUCCCUGCAUUGAUCAGAUGCUUGACCGACUAGCAGGGCAGGAGUACUAUUUUUUCUUAGAUGGGUAUUCCGAUUACAACCAGAUCUUGAUUGCACCCAAGGAUCAGGAAAAGACCACGUUCACUUGUCCUUAUGGUACCUAUGCUUUCAAACACAUACCAUUCGGACUUUGCAAUGCACCAACAACUUUUCAAAGGUGUAUGAUGGCCAUUUUUCAUGAUAUGGUAGAAAACUUUGUAGAGGUGUUCAUGGAUGAUUUCUCCGUCUUUGGAAAGUCUUUUGAGGUAUGUCUCCGGAAUCUUGAUAAAAUACUUGCUAGAUGUGAGGACACUAACUUAGUUUUAAAUUGGGAAAAGUGUCAUUUUUUUGUUAGAGAGGGGAUAGUGUUGGGUCACAAGGUGUCGAAGUCGGGUUUAGAGGUUGAUAAGGCCAAGGUAGAAUUUAUUGAAAAAUUGCCCCCUCCCAUUUCUAUAAAAGGGGUGCGUAAUUUUCUUGGUCAUGCAGGUUUCUACCGGCGAUUCAUCAAGGAUUUUUCCAAGAUUGCAAGACCUAUGCGCAGUCUUUUGGAGAAGGAGGUGAAGUUUGACUUUGAUGAGAUGUGCUUGAAAGCUUUUGAGAUAUUGAAGAGGAACUUAAUUGAGGCUCCCAUCUUAAUUGCUCCUGAUUGGGGACUACCAUUUGAACUCAUGUGUGAUGCAAGCGACAUAGCAGUGGGUGCAGUGUUGGGACAAAGAAAGAAUAAAGUGUUCCACUUGAUCUAUUAUGCAAGCAAGACCCUUGACUCUACACAAGCUAAUUACACAGUGACUGAGAAGGAGAUGCUAGCUUUAGUGUUCGCCUUCGACAAGUUCAGAUCAUAUUUGGUAGGUACUAAAGUGAUGUUUUACUGACCAUGCAGCUAUUAGGUACCUAUUCAACAAGAAGGAUGCUAAACCAAGGCUGAUUCGCAGAACGCGGAACAAUAUGGACAUGUAAUUGAGGUACAUGGUAAAAUCUGUGGUUCAGCACCGUGUGGAUUCUCAGAUGUUAAUACCAUGUCUAAGGAUGCACAGGAGAGAUCAGCAUCGAUGAGGAAACUGUGCGUUGCAGUUGUCCUUUGCAUCAUUUUUAUGGCUGUCGAGGUUGUCGGAGGUAUUAAAGCCAACAGUCUUGCAAUUUUGACAGAUGCAGCAGCUGAAUAAAAACUAUCAAACACCAGUAUAUAUAAGACAGUAAAAUAAUAAAAGUAUCUUACAUAAAACGAACACGCAGAAGUAAGUACAUAUAAAGAACAAAACAGCAUGUGCAGACAUAAUAAGCAAAAGACUGCAGCCAAGACAAAAACAGAUCAUAGGAAAAAACGCUAGUUUCAUUGAUAGUACGGUAAUAACAUGCACAAGAACUUGUUGAAUUCUAGAGAAUCCUUUUUUUCACCCUUGAUGCUAUCAAAUUCCCUAAGCUGGGCACAUAACUCAGUACUUACUACUAUCUCUAUAUAAAUCCUCAAACACAUAUACAGAAUUUUAAGAACGAUUAUACUUCAUACAAAACCACAUUGCAUCACUAAAGAAAGAGGAGAGAGAAGAGAAUGGCCACUGUAGCAGCUGCAAUGAUGCUUCAGUGUGUCUUUGACGGAAGCUUGUCGAUGUCAGACAUGAAUAUCGAGAGACGACCUUACCAUAAAAACUGCAGUUGUGCAUUGCACAAGCAGAAAGGGGAAAAUCCAACCACUUGUGUCCACAGUAGGUAUAUAUCAUUCCCCAAAAGGCAAAACCAGAAAGAUAUGACAUUGUCAAUAGCAGCUUCUCAAUUCUCUUCUCCAUCUUCUUCUUGCAAUAAUUCAUUCGUCACGAGUGUACAGCAUACAGCGCCGACUUUAGCAAGUAGUUGAAUGUACUGCUUUUCUUCUAUCACAUAGUAAAUUUUUCAAACCAAAUUUACCAGAACUUCUUGAUCUUCACUUUUCCUUUUUCUGUUUUAUUUUAUAUUUUACCUUCUUCUAUUUUUAUUUCCACUUAGGGUGAUGUAAUGUAACAGUCGAAACCACG
Molecule: long non-coding RNA, 7613 nt
Filed under: Solanum tuberosum (potato)
Lineage: Eukaryota; Viridiplantae; Streptophyta; Magnoliopsida; Solanales; Solanaceae
Description: long non-coding RNA (STUB_LNC006984)
Source: RNAcentral